GGAUGUAGCUCAGUGGUAGAGUGUCUGCCUGGCAUGCAUGAAGCCCUGGGUUCAAUCCCAACAACAACA
This 69-nucleotide transfer RNA is filed under the name Marmota monax (woodchuck). RNAcentral's name for it is "tRNA.Ala". It matches the Rfam family "tRNA". Rfam says of the family: Transfer RNA (tRNA) molecules are approximately 80 nucleotides in length. Their secondary structure includes four short double-helical elements and three loops (D, anti-codon, and T loops). Further hydrogen bonds mediate the characteristic L-shaped molecular structure. tRNAs have two regions of fundamental functional importance: the anti-codon, which is responsible for specific mRNA codon recognition, and the 3' end, to which the tRNAs corresponding amino acid is attached (by aminoacyl-tRNA synthetases). tRNAs cope with the degeneracy of the genetic code in two manners: having more than one tRNA (with a specific anti-codon) for a particular amino acid; and 'wobble' base-pairing, i.e. permitting non-standard base-pairing at the 3rd anti-codon position. The record is from RNAcentral. Lineage: Eukaryota; Metazoa; Chordata; Mammalia; Rodentia; Sciuridae.